This 231-nucleotide ribosomal RNA is filed under the name uncultured bacterium. Its description in RNAcentral is "partial 16S ribosomal RNA". It matches the Rfam family "Bacterial small subunit ribosomal RNA", at positions 15 to 235 of the family's 1533-position model. The record is from RNAcentral.
AAUCCUGGCUCAGGAUGAACGCUAGCUACAGGCUUAACACAUGCAGGUCGAGGGGCAGCAUGGUCUUAGCUUGCUAAGGCUGAUGGCGACCGGCGCACGGGUGAGUAACACGUAUCCAACCUGCCGUCUACUCUUGGCCAGCCUUCUGAAAGGAAGAUUAAUCCAGGAUGGGAUCAUGAGUUCACAUGUCCUCAUGAUUAAAGGUAUUUUCCGGUAGACGAUGGGGAUGCG